Molecule: ribosomal RNA, 477 nt
Filed under: uncultured bacterium
Lineage: Bacteria
Description: partial 16S ribosomal RNA
Rfam family: Bacterial small subunit ribosomal RNA
Source: RNAcentral
GAUUAACGCUGGCGGCGUGCAUAACACAUGCAAGUCGAACGAUGAAACUUAAAUGAUUUCUUCGGAAUGAACUUAAGUGGAUUAGUGGCGGACGGGUGAGUAACGCGUGAGUAACCUGCCUUACACAAGGGGAUAGCCGUUGGAAACGACGAAUAAUACCCUAUGAAACUAUCACUUCGCAUGAAGCGAUAGUCAAAGUGUUAGCGGUGUAAGAUGGACUUGCGUCUGAUUAGCUAGUUGGUGAGAAAAAAGCCCACCAAGGCAACGAUCAGUAGCCGGCUUGAGAGAGUGUACGGACACAUUGGGACUGAGACACGGCCCAGACUCCUACGGGAGGCAGCAGUGGGGAAUUUUGCACAAUGGGGGAAACCCUGAUGCAGCGACGCCGCGUGAUUGAGAAGGCCUUCGGGUUGUAAAAAUCUUUUGUAUAGGAAGAAAAUGACAGUACUAUACGAAUAAGGUCCGGCUAAUUACGUG